GUCCGCAUGAACCAUUCGCCCGCCACGCAAACGAUCCGCAAGUGUGCAGUGAUCCCCACGAGUGUCAUCCAUAAUGCAUCUGGGUGCCAUCUUAAGUGCGUGCGGGCGCAAACCUUAGUCCAUCCGGGCGACAUCCUACUGCCGUCCCUGCCCCCUGGGGCGACAUCCUACUGCCGUCCCUGCCCCCCGGGGCGACAUCCUACUGCCGUCCCUGCCCCCUGGGGCGACAUCCUACUGCCGUCCCUGCCCCCUGGGGCGACAUCCUACUGCCCCCCCUGCACCCAGGCUAGCCCAAAUUAGUAGCUCCGGACCACAUCGCGUGCCCAGCUGCUGGGCGGUAGCGACAUACUU
RNAcentral lists this long non-coding RNA (351 nucleotides) under Chlamydomonas reinhardtii. Its description in RNAcentral is "long non-coding RNA (CREI_LNC000822)". The record is from RNAcentral. Lineage: Eukaryota; Viridiplantae; Chlorophyta; Chlorophyceae; Chlamydomonadales; Chlamydomonadaceae.